RNAcentral lists this ribosomal RNA (851 nucleotides) under Dactylaria sparsa. RNAcentral describes it as "eukaryotic LSU rRNA". It matches the Rfam family "Eukaryotic large subunit ribosomal RNA", at positions 56 to 940 of the family's 3401-position model. Lineage: Eukaryota; Fungi; Ascomycota; Leotiomycetes; Helotiales. The record is from RNAcentral.
GGAAAGAAACCAACAGGGAUUGCCUCAGUAACGGCGAGUGAAGCGGCAACAGCUCAAAUUUGAAAUCUGGCCUUUGGUCCGAGUUGUAAUUUGUAGAGGAUGCUUUUGGUGCGGUGCCUUCCGAGUUCCCUGGAACGGGACGCCUUAGAGGGUGAGAGCCCCGUACGGUUGGACGCCUAGCCUCUGUAAAGCUCCUUCGACGAGUCGAGUAGUUUGGGAAUGCUGCUCAAAAUGGGAGGUAAAUUUCUUCUAAAGCUAAAUACCGGCCAGAGACCGAUAGCGCACAAGUAGAGUGAUCGAAAGAUGAAAAGCACUUUGAAAAGAGGGUUAAAUAGCACGUGAAAUUGUUGAAAGGGAAGCGUUUAUGACCAGACUUUUUCUAGGCGGAUCAUCCGGUGUUCUCACCGGUGCACUUCGCCUAGUUUAGGCCAGCAUCGGUUUUCGUAGGGGGAUAAAAGCUUUGGGAACGUGGCUCUUCGGAGUGUUAUAGCCCAUUGUAUAAUACCUUUAUGGGGACCGAGGUACGCGCAUUGCAAGGAUGCUGGCGUAAUGGUUAUCAAUCACCCGUCUUGAAACACGGACCAAGGAGUCGAACAUUUGUGCGAGUGUUUGGGUGUUAAACCCUCACGCGUAAUGAAAGUGAACGGAGGUGAGAGCCAUUUGGUGCAUCAUCGACCGAUCCUGAUGUCUUCGGAUGGAUUUGAGUAAGAGCAUAACUGUUCGGACCCGAAAGAUGGUGAACUAUGCGUGGAUAGGGUGAAGCCAGAGGAAACUCUGGUGGAGGCUCGCAGCGGUUCUGACGUGCAAAUCGAUCGUCAAAUCUGCGCAUGGGGGCGAAAGACUAAUCGAAC